This 453-nucleotide ribosomal RNA is filed under the name uncultured beta proteobacterium. RNAcentral describes it as "SSU rRNA". It matches the Rfam family "Bacterial small subunit ribosomal RNA", at positions 462 to 915 of the family's 1533-position model. Lineage: Bacteria; Pseudomonadati; Pseudomonadota; Betaproteobacteria. The record is from RNAcentral.
UUUGGUAAUGACGGUACUUGAAGAAUAAGCACCGGGUAAGUACGUGCCAGCAGCCGCGGUAAUACGUAGGGUGCAAGCGUUAAUCGGAAUUACUGGGCGUAAAGCGUGCGCAGGCGGUUUUGUAAGUCUGAUGUGAAAUCCCCGGGCUCAACCUGGGAAUUGCAUUGGAGGCUGCAAGGCUAGAAUCUGGCAGAGGGGGGUAGAAUUCCACGUGUAGCAGUGAAAUGCGUAGAUAUGUGGAGGAACACCGAUGGCGAAGGCAGCCCCCUGGGUCAAGAUUGACGCUCAUGCACGAAAGCGUGGGGAGCAAACAGGAUUAGAUACCCUGGUAGUCCACGCCCUAAACGAUGUCUACUAGUUGUCGGGUCUUAAUUGACUUGGUAACGCAGCUAACGCGUGAAGUAGACCGCCUGGGGAGUACGGUCGCAAGAUUAAAACUCAAAGGAAUUGACG